Molecule: ribosomal RNA, 624 nt
Filed under: uncultured bacterium
Lineage: Bacteria
Description: bacterial SSU rRNA
Rfam family: Bacterial small subunit ribosomal RNA
Source: RNAcentral
AACCACCUGGGGAGUACGUUGGCAACAAUGAAACUCAAAGGAAUUGACGGGGACCCGCACAAGCGGUGGAACAUGUGGUUUAAUUCGAUGAUACGCGAGGAACCUUACCUGGACUUAAAUGUAGAUUGCAUAGAGUAGAGAUAUUCUUUUCUUCGGACUAUCUACAAGGUGCUGCAUGGUUGUCGUCAGCUCGUGCCGUGAGGUGUCGGGUUAAGUCCCAUAACGAGCGCAACCCCUAUCGUUAGUUGCCAUCAGGUUAAGCUGGGGACUCUAACGAAACUGCCUGUGCAAACAGAGAGGAAGGUGGGGAUGACGUCAAAUCAGCACGGCCCUUACGUCCAGGGCUACACACGUGUUACAAUGGCAUAGACAGAGGGCAGCUACCAGGCGACUGGAUGCGAAUCUCGAAACUAUGUCUCAGUUCGGAUCGGAGUCUGCAACCCGACUCCGUGAAGUUGGAAUCGCUAGUAAUCGCGCAUCAGCCAUGGCGCGGUGAAUACGUUCCCGGGUCUUGUACACACCGCCCGUCGAGCCAUGGAAGCCGAGGGGACCUGAAGUACGUAACCGCAAGGAGCGUCCUAGGGUAAAAUUGGUAACUGGGGCUAAGUCGUAACAAGGUAGCCG